AAAUACCAAGGCGAUCGGGUGAACUGUGGUUAAGGAACUCGGCAAAUUGCCCCCGUAACUUCGGGAGAAGGGGGACCUCUGUUGGUGAUGGGCUUUACGCCUGGAGCUGGUGGGGGUCGCAGUGGCCAGGGGGAAGCGACUGUUUACUAAAAACACAGGUCCGUGCGAAGUCGUAAGACGAUGUAUACGGACUGACGCCUGCCCGGUGCCGGAACGUUAAGGGGACCGCUUAGCCGACGUGAGUUGGCGAAGGUGAGAACUUAAGCGCCGGUAAACGGCGGUGGUAACUAUAACCAUCCUAAGGUAGCGAAAUUCCUUGUCGGGUAAGUUCCGACCUGCACGAAUGGCGUAACGACUUCCCCGCUGUCUCAACCGCAGACCCGGCGAAAUUGCACUACGAGUAAAGAUGCUCGUUUCGCGCAGCAGGACGGAAAGACCCCGGGACCUUCACUACAGCUUGACAUUGGCGUUUGGAACGUCUUGUGUAGGAUAGGUGGGAGACUGGGAAGCUGUCACGCUAGUGAUGGUGGAGUCAUUGGUGAAAUACCACUCUGGUCGUUUUGAACGUCUAACUCUGGUCCGUGAUCCGGAUCGGGGACAGUGUCUGGUGGGUAGUUUAACUGGGGCGGUUGCCUCCUAAAGAGUAACGGAGGCGCCCAAAGGUUCCCUCAGCCUGGUUGGCAAUCAGGUGUUGAGUGUAAGUGCACAAGGGAGCUUGACUGUGAGACUGACAGGUCGAGCAGGAGCGAAAGCUGGGACUAGUGAUCCGGCAUCGGCGUGUGGAAGCGGUGUCGCUCAACGGCUAAAAGGUACCCCGGGGAUAACAGGCUGAUCUUCCCCAAGAGUCCAUAUCGACGGGAUGGUUUGGCACCUCGAUGUCGGCUCGUCGCAUCCUGGGGCUGGAGUAAGUCCCAAGGGUUGGGCUGUUCGCCCAUUAAAGCGGUACGCGAGCUGGGUUUAGAACGUCGCGAGACAGUUCGGUCCCUAUCCGCUGCGCGCGCAGGAGACUUGAAGGGGGCUGUCCCUAGUACGAGAGGACCGGGACGGACGAACCUCUGGUGUGCCAGUUGUACCGCCAGGUGCACGGCUGGUUGGCUACGUUCGGAAGGGAUAACCGCUGAAAGCAACUAAGCGGGAAGCUCGCCUUGAGAUGAGGUCUCCCACCACGAGAGUGGGUAAGGCUCCCGGUAGACGACCGGGUUGAUAGGCCGGAGGUGGAAGCACGGUAACGUGUGGAGCUGACCGGUACUAAUAGGCCGAGGACUUGACC
Molecule: ribosomal RNA, 1270 nt
Filed under: metagenome
Description: bacterial LSU rRNA
Rfam family: Bacterial large subunit ribosomal RNA
Source: RNAcentral